RNAcentral lists this ribosomal RNA (409 nucleotides) under uncultured bacterium. RNAcentral describes it as "bacterial SSU rRNA". It matches the Rfam family "Bacterial small subunit ribosomal RNA", at positions 355 to 776 of the family's 1533-position model. The record is from RNAcentral.
UGGGGAAUAUUGCACAAUGGGCGAAAGCCUGAUGCAGCGACGCCGCGUGGGGGAUGACGGCCUUCGGGUUGUAAACCCCUUUUGACAGGGACGAAGCGCAAGUGACGGUACCUGUAGAAGAAGCACCGGCCAACUACGUGCCAGCAGCCGCGGUAAUACGUAGGGUGCGAGCGUUGUCCGGAAUUACUGGGCGUAAAGAGCUUGUAGGCGGUCUGUCACGUCUUCUGUGAAAACUUGGGGCUCAACCUUAAGCUUGCAGGGGAUACGGGCAGACUAGAGUACUUCAGGGGAGACUGGAAUUCCUGGUGUAGCGGUGAAAUGCGCAGAUAUCAGGAGGAACACCGGUGGCGAAGGCGGGUCUCUGGGAAGUAACUGACGCUGAGAAGCGAAAGCAUGGGUAGCAAACAGG